Molecule: long non-coding RNA, 828 nt
Filed under: Sander lucioperca (pikeperch)
Lineage: Eukaryota; Metazoa; Chordata; Actinopteri; Perciformes; Percidae
Description: lncRNA (ENSSLUG00000022040.1)
Source: RNAcentral
UUCCUUUCGAUUCCGGUUCUUAUCGAUUCUCAAUUCCGAUUCUUUGAGGGGUGGAGUUGAAACGGGUCACAUGCCUACAGCGCCGCUUACUGAGCUCCAAGGCUGCAACACAACAAGAGCCUGGCCGCUUCGGAAACCAAAACUUGUGCAUAUUAAAUUGGGAAGCGAUAAUCGGAUUUGCAACCAAAUCCUCUAAACAAUUUGGUUUCAAAUCCGAUCAUCGCUUCGCAAUUUAAUAUGCACAAGUUUCCGAUUCCAAUAAAGAAACGAUUCCGAUGGAACGAUUCCAAGUAGGACUCGUUUCUCGAUGCCCAACCCCACUGACCCUGUCCCGUGUCCAGGAGCUGGUGUGGAUCCUCCACAAGGCCUUGGAGGCGUCUCAGCUGGAGAAGCGAACGUGUGCAGAGUUUCUGGCGGCGGACGGCGAGCAGGAGCGCCUGGAGCUGCUGCGACACUGCGAGCGGCAGGCGGCCGACCUGCGUGGUCGGCUGGAGGCUGCGAGGACGGAGGCGGACGCCGCCAGGAAGAGUCUGGCUCAGAGAGACGCUCAGCUGGCCGAGCUGCAAGACAACAUCCGCAGUCUGACGGAGAAAAACAACGCCAAGCAGCAGGUGAUCAUAAAGCUGGCGGAUCAGGUGACCUCCUGUAUGUCCUCCGGCGGCGGUCUGGACUCUCAGACCUUCAGACAGCUUCAGCAGGAGAUCGAGAACCUGAAGGGUGUCGCAUAGUUAUGGCUUCGACUAAGAACUGCAGUUCUUGCUCUUCUGCUCGACCUCCACGAGGAUUGUUUUUCAUGCCUCAGGCAGCGGCAUCAGCUGCAGGCAGAAC